UACGAAGGGGGCGAGCGUUGCUCGGAAUCACUGGGCGUAAAGGGUGCGUAGGCGGGUCUUUAAGUCAGGGGUGAAAUCCUGGAGCUCAACUCCAGAACUGCCUUUGAUACUGAAGAUCUUGAGUUCGGGAGAGGUGAGUGGAACUGCGAGUGUAGAGGUGAAAUUCGUAGAUAUUCGCAAGAACACCAGUGGCGAAGGCGGCUCACUGGCCCGAUACUGACGCUGAGGCACGAAAGCGUGGGGAGCAAACAGG
This 253-nucleotide ribosomal RNA is filed under the name uncultured bacterium. RNAcentral describes it as "partial 16S ribosomal RNA". It matches the Rfam family "Bacterial small subunit ribosomal RNA", at positions 524 to 776 of the family's 1533-position model. The record is from RNAcentral.